CUCAUGACAUUACUGCAAUCCUGCAACAAGUUCAACCUAAGCACCUUUCUUCUCAACGUUACCUUCGUCUACAAACAUCCUUACUGUUACCUGACAAUGUGAAACUUCAGCGAUGUCUCUCCCUGAACCCGGCCACUCUUCUGCCACUUCCCAAGGGGGGAAUUGUGCAUUACUGGUAUAGCCUGGACAUCAACCCAGAGGUUUGAGCAGAUUUGCAGCUGCCUGCACUUGCACCCCCCACAUGAU
Molecule: non-coding RNA, 246 nt
Organism: Pelobates cultripes (western spadefoot toad)
Lineage: Eukaryota; Metazoa; Chordata; Amphibia; Anura; Pelobatidae
Source: the annotation of a GenBank genome assembly